UACGGAGGGGACUAGCGUUGUUCGGAAUUACUGGGCGUAAAGCGCACGUAGGCGGAUUUGUAAGUCAGGGGUGAAAUCCCGGGGCUCAACCUCGGAACUGCCUUUGAUACUGCAAAUCUCGAGUCCGGAAGAGGUGAGUGGAAUUCCUAGUGUAGAGGUGAAAUUCGAAGAUAUUAGGAAGAACACCAGUGGCGAAGGCGGCUCACUGGUCCGGUACUGACGCUGAGGUGCGAAAGCGUGGGGAGCAAACAGG
RNAcentral lists this ribosomal RNA (253 nucleotides) under uncultured bacterium. Its description in RNAcentral is "partial 16S ribosomal RNA". It matches the Rfam family "Bacterial small subunit ribosomal RNA", at positions 524 to 776 of the family's 1533-position model. The record is from RNAcentral.